UGGGAACGUACCCUUUGGUUCGGAACAACCCAGGGAAACUUGGGCUAAUACCGGAUAAGUCCGUAAGGAGAAAGAUUUAUCGCCAAAGGAUCGGCCCGCGUCUGAUUAGCUAGUUGGUAGGGUAAUGGCCUACCAUGGCUACGAUCAGUAGCUGGUCUGAGAGGAUGAUCAGCCACAUUGGGACUGAGACACGGCCCAAACUCCUACGGGAGGCAG
Molecule: ribosomal RNA, 216 nt
Filed under: uncultured bacterium
Lineage: Bacteria
Description: partial 16S ribosomal RNA
Rfam family: Bacterial small subunit ribosomal RNA
Source: RNAcentral